GCAGGUGCUGCGACGACCCAGCGUCAGAGUGCACAAAACCUCCUGUUGCCAGGGCCGGUGCCCUUCGACGAUGUGGUCCUGGGCUUCAGAAACAAAGAGUGCAGUCGCCUGGACUGGCCCGAGAAGGCUCUUUACACGAACGUGAUAUUAAAGAAUUACGGAAACGCCAUGGCACUGAGUUCCAGGGUUCCAGGAUAUGGCCGUCACUCUUGCUGGGGCUCCAUCCAGUCCGCUCUGGGUUUUGCAGGUGAACUGAUGGUAACAAAGCCCGUGAUGAAGGGAGCCAGUUCUGGAGAGAUCAGGGGCAGAGGCAGCGCGGCCAGCAAGCGAGUCUCAAGCUGGAGGAUUUAUUUAUUUUAUUCGAGAGGGAGAGAGAGUCUUAAGUUGACACCACACUGACAGUGGAGCCCGACUUGGGGCUUGAUCUCACAACCCCGAGAUCA
Molecule: long non-coding RNA, 443 nt
Organism: Lontra canadensis (Northern American river otter)
Lineage: Eukaryota; Metazoa; Chordata; Mammalia; Carnivora; Mustelidae
Exons: 3
Source: RefSeq, a predicted model, not a curated record